Molecule: unclassified non-coding RNA, 240 nt
Filed under: soil metagenome
Description: partial contains 5.8S ribosomal RNA, internal transcribed spacer 2, and large subunit ribosomal RNA
Source: RNAcentral
AACACUGUUAACCUGCGGUACCUGCGGAAGGAUCAUUACCGAGUGCGGGUCCUUUGGGCCCAACCUCCCAUCCGUGUCUAUCGUACCCUGUUGCUUCGGCGGGCCCGCCGCUUGUCGGCCGCCGGGGGGGCGCCUCUGCCCCCCGGGCCCGUGCCCGCCGGAGACCCCAACACGAACACUGUCUGAAAGCGUGCAGUCUGAGUUGAUUGAAUGCAAUCAGUUAAAACUUUCAACAAUGGA